This is an RNA transcript of Rhodamnia argentea, 14872 nucleotides long. It is a transcript of the gene named sacsin, with no coding region annotated. The transcript is spliced from 14 exons. The record is from RefSeq and is a predicted model, not a curated record. Lineage: Eukaryota; Viridiplantae; Streptophyta; Magnoliopsida; Myrtales; Myrtaceae.
GCCACCGACGGGACUGCGGGCAUCAAGGGCACCGUUCGUCCGUGCUGACCGUGACCGAGUGACGUAAUAGCGACGAAGUCUCGAGCUUACCCGAAUCAAACCAAUUCUCUCCCUCGUUCCCCAAUCACAGUAUUCACCGACUUCCACAAGCUUCCGAUUCCAAUUCUCCCGAUCGCUACCACCAUCAUGCCUUGAAACUCCGAAUCCGAACCGGGUUUCAUCGCCGUUCGAGCAUUGGAUCGUCCGCCCGGGAGCGAGAGAUGGCGGCCUCUCCGCCGAUCUUCAUCGAGGACUUCGGCCAGAAGGUCGACCUGACGCGGCGGAUCAGGGAGGUCCUGCUCAACUACCCCGAGGGCACGACGGUGCUGAAGGAGAUGAUCCAGAACGCCGACGACGCCGGCGCCACCACUGUGCGCCUGUGCUUGGACCGCCGCGUCCACGGCUCGGGGUCUCUCCUGUCGGAUUCCCUGGCGCAGUGGCAGGGCCCCGCCCUGCUGGCCUACAACGACGCUGUCUUCUCGGAGGAAGAUUUCGCCAGCAUUUCGAGGAUCGGCGGGAGUAGCAAGCAUUCGCAGGCGUGGAAGACUGGCCGCUUCGGGGUUGGCUUCAAUUCGGUGUACCAUUUAACUGAUUUGCCCUCUUUCGUGAGUGGGAAGUAUGUUGUGUUGUUCGAUCCUCAGGGUGUUUAUCUUCCUCAAGUGUCUGCAGCAAAUCCUGGAAAAAGGAUCGACUUUGUCAAUUCUUCAGCUAUUUCAAUAUAUAACGAUCAGUUUUCUCCAUAUUGUGCAUUUGGUUGUGACAUGCAAAGUUCGUUUUCUGGAACUUUGUUUCGGUUUCCACUGAGAAAUGUAGUUCAGGCUGUUGACAGUAAGCUUUCUAGGCAAGCUUAUGAGGAGGAUGAUAUCUGUUCAAUGUUCGCUCAGCUGUAUGAGGAGGGAGUUCUAACGCUGCUUUUUCUUAAGAGCGUUCUGUCUAUUGAAAUGUAUAUCUGGGAUGUUGGACAAAAUGAACCUAUGAAGCUUUAUUCUUGUUCUGUUUGUUCUGUGAAUAGCGAGACAAUUUUGCAUCGACAGGCAUUUCUUACCAUGUCAAAAUCAGUUGAUUCUCAAGAUAGCGAGAUGGAUUCUUUCUCACUGGACUUCCUGAGUGAAGCAUCCAAUGGGAAUAAUUUUGAGAAGAAGAUAGAUCAAUUCUACAUAGUUCAAGCAAUGGCGUCCAGAUCUAGUAGAAUUUGUUCUUUUGCAUCAACUGCUUCAAGAGAAUAUGACAUGCACCUUCUGCCGUGGGCAUCAGUUGCAGCCUGCAUAUCACCAUCUGAUACAAGUGUUCUCAAGCUCGGUGGUGCAUUUUGUUUUCUUCCAUUGCCUGUGAGAACUGGACUGUCAGUGCAAGUCAAUGCAUACUUUGAGGUGUCAUCAAAUCGUCGUGGAAUUUGGUAUGGAGAUGAUAUGGAUAGAAGUGGGAAAGUGCGUUCUGUCUGGAACAGGCUUCUUCUGGAAGAUCUUGUAGCACCUAUUUUUGCGCGGUUGCUGCUUGGUGUUCGAGAGGUACUUGGUCCAACCGAUUUAUACUAUUCCUUGUGGCCUGUUGGUCAAUUUGAAGAGCCAUGGAACAUUUUAGUCGAGUGCAUAUUCAGAAACAUUGCCAAUGUCCCUGUGCUAUAUUCUGAGAUUCAAGGAGGAAAUUGGGUCUCACCUUCUGAGGCUUUUCUUCAUGAUGCAGAAUUUGCUGGAAGUAAAGAACUUGGGGAAGCCUUGAUUCAGCUAGGAAUGCCCAUUGUCUCUUUGUCGCAUCAAUUGUUUACUAUGAUCUUGAGUUAUGCGUCCAUUUUUCACCAGAAAGUAGUCAAUCCACAUAAUGUACGGCAGCACCUGAAAGGAUGCAGAAUUCUAGGAUCCUUGAGCAAAUCUGCCAAACUUGUUUUGUUGGAAUAUUGUCUUGAAGACUUGAUCGAUGCUGAUGUUGGCACUCAUGCUUAUGACAUUCCUUUGCUUCCUCUCGCAAAUGGUGACUUUGGUUCAUUAUCAGAUGCCUCAAAAGGGUCGUGUUACUUUGUCUGCAACGAAGUUGAGUUCGCGCUGCUUCAGAAAGUCUUGGAUAGAGUGAUUGAUCGCAAUAUCCCUCUCCACUUACUAGGCAGACUUACGUCUAUUGCUAAAUCCUCAAAGGCCAAUCUUACUCUUUUCAACAUUGAUCAUCUCAUACAAUUAUUUCCCGGCUUUGUACCGGGGGAUUGGAAGUACAAGAACACUGUGGUCUGGGACCCAGAGAAUUGUCGAGACCAACCGACUCCCUCAUGGUUUUUGUUGUUUUGGCAGUAUGUUAAAGCUGAGUGUGAAAACUUGUCUUUGUUUAGUGAAUGGCCAAUUUUACCGUCCACAUCUGGUCAUCUGUGUAGAGCUUCUAGAAUAUCAAGGCUGAUCAGGGGGAACAAUUUGAGUGACAAGAUGCAAGAUAUCCUAGCAAAGAUUGGAUGCAAGAUACUCAAUCCUGACUUUGGGGUUGAACAUCACAAUUUGUCGCACUUUUUAUGGGAAAGUGACAUCACAGGUAUUCUGGAAUCUAUUUUUGACUCUAUUUCUUCUAACGGUGGAAUGACUCAAACUUUUCAGAAUGUCGGAGCAGAAGAAAGGGAUGUUCUUCGAAUAUUUCUUCUCGACUUUAAGCGGUACAUUGGAGGUUGUGUGAAUGAUCUUGACCUUCAAAAGUGCAGGAAGCUUCCAAUUUACAAGGUAUAUUCGGCAGAAUCUGACCUGAAUUUUGAGUAUGCCGACUUAGAAGUUCCUCAUAAGUACUUACCCCCAUUGGAUGUCCCAGAGAGCUUUCUGGGAGUUGAGUUUAUUAUGAUCUCUUCAACAACUGAAGAGGAGGUCCUUUCAAAGUAUUAUGGAAUCAAGAGAAUGGGAAAGGCACGUUUUUACAGGGAGCAGGUCUUUUGUAGACUCAGGGACUUGCAACCUGAAAUCCGUGAUGGCCUUAUGCUUUCGGUUUUGAAGAAUCUGCCACAAUUGUGUCUUGAGGACCCUUUUCUGAGGGAAUGCUUGAGAAGUUUGGAAUUUGUUCCAACUAAGAGUGGUUUGAUCAAAUGUCCUUCAGUAUUAUAUGAUCCUCGUGUAGAAGAAACAUAUGCUUUGCUGGAAAAUUCUGACUGUUUUCCGCAUGUUUCUUUUCGAGAAUCUGAGAUUUUGGACAUGCUGCAAGGUUUGGGUCUAAGGACAUCUAUUUCCCCUGAGACAAUAAUUGAAAGUGCCCGACAGGUGGAGAGGUUGGUCCAUGAGGAUCCACAGAAGGCAUAUUACAGAGGCAAAGUGCUGCUUUCUUUUCUAGAGGUGAAUGCAAUGAAGUGGCUGCCAGAUAAGUUGGAGGAUGAACAGGGAAAGGUAAAUAACAUAUUUUCUCUUGCUGCUACUGCAUUCAGGCCUCGCAACUUGAAGUCUGACCUCGAAAAGUUUUGGAUUGAUCUUCGAAUGAUCUGCUGGUGCCCCGUUCUGGUAUCUGCCCCAUUUAAGUGUUUGCCUUGGCCUGUUGUCUCUUCCAAUGUGGCUCCUCCAAAGCUUGUACGUUUGGAGAGAGACCUGUGGCUUGUUUCUGCAAGCAUGCGGAUACUGGAUGGGGAGUGCUCAUCCACUGCCCUGUCACAUGGGCUUGGAUGGUCUUCCCUGCCUGGGGGAAGUGUGAUUGCUGCCCAGCUUCUCGAACUUGGGAAAAAUAAUGAGACUGUGGAUGACCUGGUGCUCCGGCAAGAAUUGGCUUUGGCUAUGCCGAGGAUAUAUUCAUUAUUGAAAGGUCUGGUUGGCACAGAUGAAAUGGACAUUGUAAAGGCUGUUCUUGAAGGGAGUAGGUGGAUUUGGGUCGGAGAUGGAUUUUCAACUUCAGAUGAGGUUGUCCUUGAUGGUCCUCUUCAUUUGGCUCCUUAUAUUCGUGUCAUACCUGUUGACUUAGCUGUGUUUGGAGAAUUGUUCUUAGAGCUUGGUGUUAGGGAGUUCUUGAAGCCUAUUGAUUAUGUUAAUAUCCUACACAGAAUGGCCAUGCGAAAAGGUUUCUUGCCUCUUGAUCCCGGGGAAAUCAGGGCUGCCAUUCUGAUUGUGCAACAUCUAUCUGAAGUUCAGAUCCAGGAACAAGUUAAGAUAUACUUACCAGAUGUCUCUGGCAGACUCUUCCCUUCAAGCGAAUUGGUUUAUAAUGAUGCUCCCUGGUUGCUAAGCCCGGAUUAUUCUGAUAGCUCAUUUGGUAGUGGAUCUAACUCUGUCUUCAAUGCAAAGACAAGGGUGCAAAAAUUUGUUCAUGGAAAUAUUUCAAAUGAUGUUGCAGAGAAGCUUGGUGUUUGCUCUCUCCGGAGGAUCUUGCUAGCUGAGAAUGCUGAUUCCAUGAAUUUAAGUUUAUACGGAGCUACUGAAGCUUUUGGACAGCAUGAAGCCUUGACAACGAGACUUAAACAUAUUCUGGAAAUGUAUGCAGAUGGACCAGGAGUCCUCUUUGAACUGGUCCAGAAUGCAGAGGAUGCGGGUGCUUCUGAGGUGACAUUUCUCUUGGAUAAAACGCAGUAUGGGACUUCUUCUGUUCUCUCUCCCGAAAUGGUAGAAUGGCAGGGCCCUGCAUUAUGCUGCUUUAAUGACUCUGUUUUUAGUCCACAAGAUCUAUAUGCCAUCUCACGAAUUGGUCAGGAAAGCAAACUAGAAAAGCCUUUUGCUAUUGGAAGAUUUGGGCUGGGAUUUAAUUGUGUAUACCAUUUUACAGACAUUCCUGCAUUUGUUUCGGGGGAAAAUCUCGUCAUGUUUGAUCCCCAUGCCCAUAACUUGCCCGGGGUCACUCCUUCUCAUCCUGGCUUGCGAAUCAGGUUUGCAGGGAGAAAUAUUCUUGAACAAUUCCCUGAUCAGUUCUCUCCUUUCUUGCACUUUGGCUGUGACUUGCAACAUCCAUUUCCGGGUACCUUUUUCCGCUUUCCCCUUAGGAGUGCAACUGUUGCUUCUAGAAGCCAAAUAAAGAAAGAAACUUACACUCCUGAAGAUGUCAUGUCUCUCUUUGUUUCCUUCUCUGAGGUUGUUUCUGAUGCUUUGCUUUUCUUACACAAUGUCAAAACUGUUAAUAUUUUUGUCAAGGAGGGAAGUGGUCAUGAGAUGCAACUUUUCCAUCGUGUGCAAAAGCAUAUUAUCCAAGAGCCCCCAGCAGAACAUCAGGCAUUGCAUCAGAUCUUUAACUUUAUUGAUGGAAAUAAACACAGUGGAAUGGAUAAAGGUCAGUUUGUUAGAAAAUUGGUUGAAUCUAUCGGUGAGGAUCGCCCUUGCAGAUAUCAAAAGGUUAUUGUCAGGGAGCAAGGCUCGUGUGGAGCUCUAUCACACUUCUGGAUCACCAGUGAAUGUUUGAGUAGCGGGAGACCUAAGAAUAGCUUAGCAGCCUCUACUGGAAAGUCUGCAAAUUUUGUUCCUUGGGCUUGUGUCGCUGCUCAUCUACAUUCAGAAACAGUGGAAGAUAAAAAUGAUUUUGAUUCUUGGAAGGAGGAUGCUUCCUUGGCCACCCCGGAGCUAUUUCAAGUAGCUGUGGCAUCAACUAAGGGUAAGCAGGAUUUUGAGGGCCGUGCCUUCUGUUUUCUUCCACUUCCUAUCAGCACAGGUCUUCCUGCGCAUGUUAAUGCAUAUUUUGAGUUGUCAUCAAACAGGAGAGACAUUUGGUUUGGGAAUGACAUGGCAGGGCAUGGUAAAAAACGCUCUGACUGGAAUCUUUACCUGCUUGAGGAUGUGGCUGCCCCAGCUUAUGGUCACUUGCUUGAGAAACUUGCAGUAGAGAUAGGUCCAUGUGAUUUGUUCUUCUCAUUUUGGCCAACGGCGGUAAGAUCAGAACCUUGGGUAUCAAUGGUGCGCGAACUGUAUGCUUCCAUUGCUAACUUUGGUUUUCGUGUAUUGCACACAAAUGCUAGGGGGGGCCAGUGGAUAGCAGCCAGACAAGCUCUUUUUCCUGAUUUUAAUUUUCAUAAGGCACAUGAGCUGGUUGAAGCAUUGUCGGAUGCUGGUUUACCUUUAGUGAUGGUUUCUGAGCCUAUUGUGGAGAAAUUUGCAGAGACCUGCCCUUCACUGCACUUCCUUACACCUCAUUUUCUGAGGUCCUUGUUGAUUCGACGGCGACGAAAUUUCAGCAAUAGAAAUGGAGUUAUUUUGACCCUUGAGUAUUGUUUGCUUGAUCUAAAUGGAACAGUUAAAACUGAGAAUCUGUAUGGUUUGCCUCUUUUGCCUCUUGCUGAUGGUUCAUUUACAACUUUUGACAAGAACAGGGUUGGGGAAAGAAUUUACAUUGCCCAAGGAGAAGAAUACGGCCUUUUGAAAGAUUUCCUUCCACAUCAACUAGUUGAUUCUGGGAUUCCAGAAGAAGUUCAUGUUAAGCUCUGUGAUAUAGCUAAAAGGGGAGACUCAAAUUUGUCAUUUCUCUCGAGCCAUUUGCUUGAGAAACUUUUUGUGAAAUUUUUACCAGCCGAAUGGCAGUAUGCUACACAGGUCAACUGGUCGCCUGAUCUUGAAGGCCACCCAAGUAUCGAAUGGGUGAAUCUAUUUUGGAGCUACUUAAAGUUAAGUUGUCAUGACCUGUCAUUGUUUUCCAAGUGGCCCAUACUGCCUGUUGGCAGCAAUUUUCUUUGUCGACUCACAGAAAAUUCCAAUGUGUUAAUAAAUCAUGGGUGGAGCGAGAAUAUGUCCUGUCUAUUGGUGAAAGUAGGAUGUCAGUUCUUAAGACCUGACAUGAUAAUUGAACAUCCACAGCUGGACCAGUUUGUACGACCUCCAACAGCGACCGGCAUAUUAAAAGCUUUUAUUUCUAUUGCUGGGAAGCCUGAGAAUAUCCAUAGCCUUUUCAGUGAUGUGUCAGAAGGUGAGCUACAUGAACUGAAGAGUUUCAUUCUUCAGUCCAAGUGGUUUUUUGAGGAGCAAGUGGAUGACCACCAUAUCAGUAUUAUCAGAUCCCUUCCGAUUUUUGAAUCAUAUAGAAGCAGAAAACUUGUCAGCUUGAAUAGUCCAAUUAAAUUGCUUAAACCUAAUGGUGUACGUGAUGAUCUUCUGAAUGAUGACUUUGUGCGUACAGAGACAGAGAGAGAAAAAAUCAUUCUGAAAAGGUACUUAGAAGUUCAAGAGCCAGAAAAGUUGGAAUUCUACAAGGAUUAUGCACUCAAGCACAUGUCAGAGUUUGUUAAUCGGCCAGAAGCUAUAUCAGCAAUACUGCAUGACAUUAAGCUUUUGAUUGAUGAGGAUAAUUGUAUUAAAUCUAUUCUUUGUGCAAUACCUUUUGUUUUGGCAGUGGACGGAUGUUGGCUUGAGCCAUCCAGGCUUUACGAUCCUCGUGUGUCUGAGCUGCAGAAGGUACUGCAUAUAGAAGCUUUCUUUCCUUCUGAGAAAUUUUCUGAUCCUGAUAUUUUGGACAUCUUAGUUGAUCUUGGACUUCGAAGAACGUUUAGUUAUACUACUUUGCUUGAUUGCGCAAGAUCAGUAUCACUGCUCCACAAUAGGGGAAAUUUGGAGGCUGUUAACUAUGGCACAAAGCUGCUUGGCAUGCUAGAUAAUAUAGCAUGUAAAAUCUCUGGUGAUGGAGGGGGAAGAUCUUCUGAUGAGUUCUCCAAUUUGAGCAUACUUCCUGGCAAUGGUGGAUUUUAUGGAAGUAACAAUAAUUUUGACUCCGAUAGAGAUGAAGAGAAAGUAGACCCUGUUUCAUUCUUUGACACAGUGAUUGAUGAUAUAUCAGAAGAAGAGUUCUGGUCUGAUUUGAAGGGUAUUGCAUGGUGUCCUAUUUGUUUGGAUCCACCGUUUGCGGGCUUUCCCUGGCUGAAAUCCACCAUUCAAGUGGCUGCACCAAGCAUUGUGAGGCCUAAAUCACAGAUGUGGAUAAUUUCUUCAACAAUGCACAUACUAGAUGGUGAUUGUUUCUCGAUGUACUUGAUAGGUAAACUUGGUUGGAUGGAUCCUCCAAAUGUAACAGUCCUAUUGACGCAGUUGAUUGAGAUAUCCAAGUUUUAUGGUCAACUUGAAUUACAUUCUUCUGUGGAACCUGUUUUUCGUGAUGCUCUACAAGAUGGAGUCCUAUCCCUCUAUAGAAAAUUACAAAAGUUUAUUGGUACUGAUGAUUUUGAGGUGCUAAAAUCAGGACUUGAUGGUAUUUCCUGGAUCUGGACAGGAGAUAGUUUUGUACCAGCAAGUGCCCUGGCUUUUGAUUCACCAGUGAAGUUCUAUCCUUAUCUAUAUGUUGUUCCAUCUGAACUGGUGGAAUUUAGGGACUUGCUCUUGGCGUUAGGUGUUAAACCUAGUUUUGAUUUUCGAGAUUACCUUCGUGUUCUACAACAUUUGGGCAAUGAUUUGAAAGGCUCUACGUUAUCAUUAGAUCAGUUAAACUUUGUUGUGCGUAUACUAGAAGCUGUUGCUGAUCAUUGCUUGGAUAUACCUCUCUCUGAGUCAUCUAGAACCUCCAUCUUGGUUCCAGAUUCUUCAGGAUCUUUGAGGUGGGCUGGGGACCUUGUUUAUAAUGAUGCACCUUGGAUCGACACUAGUAAUCUUCUAGAGAAACGGUUUGUGCAUGAUUGUAUCAGCAAUGAUUUGGCAAGCAAAUUGGGCAUCCAAUCACUUCGCUGCCUCUCGUUAGUGGAUGAAGAGACAACUAGAGAUCUACCAUGCAUGGAUUAUGGCAAAGUAAAGGAGCUUUUGGCCUUUUUUGGGGGUGGUGACUUUUUAUUGUUUGACCUCCUUGAAUUGGCAGAUUGCUGUAAGGCUAAGAAACUGCAUCUGAUGAUUGACAAACGAAAACAUGCUUGCCAGUCUCUGAUGCAGCAUAAUCUUGCGGAGUUCCAAGGCCCUGGUUUAGUGGCUAUUCUUGAAGGAGUUACUUUGAGUACUGAUGAAAUAAGCAGUCUUCAACUUCGCCCUCCAUGGAGGUUGUGUGGUGAUACCCUAAAUUAUGGUUUGGGAUUGUUAAGCUGUUACACUCUCUGUGAUCUCCUAUAUGUCAUCUCUUCGGACUACUUUUAUAUGUUUGAUCCACGUGGUUUAGCUCUCGGUGCACCUUCAAGUUGUGCUCCAGCAGCAAAAGCUUUUUCAUUGAGAGGUACUAAUUUGACUGCACGAUUUCGUGAUCAGUUCAGUGCUUUGCUGCUUGAUGAAGAUGAACUGUGGUCACCAUCUGGUUGUACUUUGGUCCGCAUGCCCUUUUCACAAGAAUGCAUGAAGGAUGGACUUGAAAUGGGAUUGAGGAACAUUGAACUGAAAAUUGACAAAUUUUUGGAGCAUGCAUCAAGAGUUCUUCUGUUUUUGAAGUCAGUCUUGCAGGUAACAAUCUCAGCAUGGGAGGAAGGAAAUGCAAAGCCAUCAGAGCAGUACUCAGUUUCUGUUGAUUCAUCAUAUGCUGUCAGUAGAAACCCCUUUUCAGAGAAGAAGUGGAGAAAAUUUCAGAUAUCAAGGUUAUUUAGCAGCUCAAACACAAGUACAAAAGUUCAAAGUAUCGAUGUGAUUGUCCGUAAAGGAGCUACUAGAGUUGUUGACAGAUGGCUUGUUGUGCUCAGCCUUGGUUCUGGCCAGACUAGAAAUAUGGCUCUUGAUAGGAAGUAUAUGGCAUACAAUCUUACACCUGUUGCUGGAGUUGCUGCGCAUGUGUCCCACGAUGGUCAUCCUGUUAUUUGUCCAGGAAGCUCCAUUUUGUCACCUCUUCCUUUGUCUAGUGAUAUAUGCUUACCAGUCACAGUCCUCGGUUGUUUCCUCGUCUGCCACAACAAAGGUCGUUAUCUCUUCAAGUACCAAGAUAAGAAGGAAUUGGUUGAUGCAGUGCUUGAUGCUGGAGAUCAGUUAAUUGAGACUUGGAAUAGAGAAUUGAUGUCAUGCGUCCUUGAUUCAUAUACUGAAAUGGUGAUGGAAUUGCAAAAGUUGAGGAGAGAACCUUCAAGUUCUGUUAUAGAACCUGGUUUAGCCCAUACACUUAGUUUGUCUGUGAUGGCCUAUGGGGAUCAGAUAUAUUCUUUUUGGCCAAAGUCUGCUCUGACAGAUCAACAUACCAGUGAAAGUGGUUUGCUGGCAAUUAAUGGACCCAGAGCUGAUUGGGAAUGCGUAGUGCAGCAAUUGAUAAGGCCCUUCUACGCUCGUGCAGUUGACCUCCCUGUGUGGCAGCUAUACUCGGGUAAUCUGGUAAAAGCUAGUGAGGGAAUGUUUCUUUCACAGCCGGGGAGUGCUGUGGCUGGUAACCUGCUUCCUGCCACAGUUUGUGACUUUGUCAAGGAGCAAUAUCCAGUUUUCUCUGUAUCAUGGGAAUUGGUGGCUGAGAUUCAGUCCAUUGGUGUUACAGUUCAAGAAAUUAAACCGAAGAUGGUGCGCGACCUCCUAAGAGUUCGUUCAUCAUCUCCUGUUCUUCGGUCUGUUGACACCUAUGUGGAUGUUAUGGAGUACUGCUUAUCCGAUAUUCAUUUGACAGAACUGACUAGUUCUAAUGAAGACGGUACAUCAGUGGGAGGGAGUAAUAACCAUUCCAUUUCUAGCACAUCUACUUCUGCAGGCGCUGGUGCUGCAUCUUUGUCGAUUUCUAAUGUCCGAAGUCCAAAUGAAUCUGCUCAUGGUACCAGUAGUUCCGGAGAUGCACUUGAAGUGGUGACAAGUUUGGGGAAAGCUUUAUUUGAUUUUGGUAGAGGAGUUGUUGAAGAUAUUGGCAGAGCUGGAGGGCCCUCAAUUUCUAGGAACAGCAAUUUGGCUAUUUCUAAUGGCAGCAAUGGAAUCGUAAACCAUAAACUGCUUUUAGCAGCUGCAGAACUUAAAGGCUUACCAUGUCCAACAGCGGCAGAACAACUUUCUAGGCUGGGAAUGACUGAAUUGUGGCUUGGAAGCAGAGAACAACAGGUGCUGAUGGUUCCUUUGGCCGCAAAAUUUAUCCAUGCAAAAGUAAUGGAUCGAUCUAUCUUGAUUGAAAUCUUUUCAAAUUCCACUCUUCAAUAUUUGUUAAAAUUGCAAAGUUUCUCUCUUCCGCUACUUUCUAGGCAUAUGAAGUUACUUUUCCAUGAGAAUUGGGUGGCUCGUGUUAUGGCGACGAACCUGGCUCCCUGGUUUUCGUGGAAAAAUACACCUGGUUCUGGUAGUGAGGAAGGCCCUUCCCCUGAAUGGAUAAAACUUUUCUGGAAGAACUUCAAUGGCUCAUGGUCAGACCUUUCUCUGUUUUCUGAUUGGCCCCUGAUACCUGCUUUUCUUGGAAGGUCAAUUUUGUGCCGCGUAAGGGAAAGUCAUCUCAUCUUUAUUCCUCCACCACUGACAGAUCCAUCUUCCUUGGAAAUUGUUGAUUCUGAAGAUAAUAAUACGAAAUUUGUUCUAAACAGCCCUUCUGAAUCUAUUUCAACUCUUCCCUACAUUACUGCAUUCGAAGCUGCAAAAUGUAAAUAUCCAUGGUUGCUGUCCCUGUUGAACCAGUGCAAUAUACCUACAUUCGACACAGCUUUUAUUGAGUGUGCUGCUUCUUGCAACUGUCUCCCUCCACCGGGUCACUCACUUGGGAAAGUCAUCGCGUCCAAGUUAGUUGCAGCUAGAAAGGCUGGCUAUUUUCCUGAACUUACAUCCUUUUCGGCUUCUGACAGAGAUGAACUCUUUAGCCUUUUUGCUAAUGAUUUCUUGUCCAAUCACUCCAUCUAUGAUGCAGAAGAACUUGAAGCACUACGUUUGCUGCCUAUUUAUAAAACGGUUGCUGGAGCAUAUUCGGCAUUGUGCAAUGAAAACCAUUGUAUCGUAUCUUCUAAUUCAUUUCUUAAGCCCUCUCAUGAGCAUUGCCUUGCUUACAAUACAGAAUCCACUGAAGGUCAAUUACUUCGAGCACUUGGUAUCCCUGAGUUGCAUAAUCAACAGAUUUUGGUAAGGUUUGCCUUACCUGGGUAUGCCAAGAAACCUCAGGCUGAGCAGGAGGAUAUACUUAUCUAUAUAUACAUGAAUUGGCAAGAUAUUCAGGUGGAAUCUAGUAUAAUUGAGUCUUUGAAAGAGAGUAAAUUUAUCAGAAGUGCUGACGAGUUCUCCCCAGAUCUUUUUAUGGCUAAGGAUUUGUUUGAUCCAAGUGAUGCAUUAUUGGCAUCUGUGUUCUCCGGUGAGAGGAGAAAAUUUCCUGGAGAAAGGUUUUCUACAGAUGGUUGGCUUCGCAUCUUACGGAAAAUAGGUUUACGAACUGCGACAGAAGCAGACAUAAUACUUGAAUGUGCGAAAAGAGUCGAGUAUUUAGCAACUGAAUGGGUGAAUGGUGCAGGGGAUUCAGAUGAUAUUGGGACAGACUUGGUGAACUCUCAGAAUGGAGUUCCUAUGGAAAUAUAUGCAUUGGCUGGAUCUGUUGUUGAUUCUAUUUUCGCUAACUUCGCUGUCCUAUAUGGUAACAACUUUUGCAAUAAUCUCGGCAAGAUUGCGUGCAUUCCUACUGAGCUGGGUUUUCCAAGUGUUGCUGGCAGGAAAGGUGGCAAAAGAGUGCUUAGUUCAUAUAGUGAUGCUAUUCUGUUGAAAGAUUGGCCUUUGGCUUGGAGUGGCUCUCCCAUUUUGACCAGACAAAGUUUUAUUCCACCUGAAUACUCUUGGGGAUCACUUUACCUAAAAAGCCCUCCAGAUUUCUCGAGAGUUUUGAAACAUUUGCAGGUUAUUGGAAGAAAUGGAGGUGAAGACACACUUGCUCACUGGCCGAUAGCAUCUGGCAUGAUGACAGUUGAUGAUGCAACCCUAGUGAUUCUGAAAUACCUGGAUAAGGUGUGGGAUUCCCUUUCUUCUUCAGAUAUAACGGAACUGCAGAAGGUGGCAUUUUUGCCUGCUGCCAAUGGUACACGCUUGGUGACAGCUGAUUCUCUGUUUGUGCGUCUCACAAUUAACUUGUCCCCAUUUGCUUUUGAACUUCCUUCUAUAUAUCUUCCUUAUAUUAAGCUUCUUAAAGAUUUGGGACUUCAAGACAUGCUCUCAGUUGCAUCAGCAAAGAGUCUUCUCUCAGAUCUCCAGAAAACUUGUGGAUAUCAGCGUCUAAAUCCAAAUGAAUUUCGUGCUGUGAUAGAAAUUUUGUAUUUCUUCUCUGAUGGGAUUGAUGAUGUGAACGUCACUGAUAGCAUUGCGUUGAAAUCAGAAGCAGUAGUCCCUGACGAUGCCUGUCGACUUGUGCAUGCACAGUCAUGUGUAUACAUUGAUUCUCAUGGCUCCCAAUUUGUCAAAUAUAUUAAUACUUCAAGGUUAAGAUUUGUUCAUCCUCAUAUUCCUGACAAGAUAUGUGAAGCCCUUGGCAUCCGAAAACUGUCUGAUGUUGUUAUUGAGGAACUCUGUCACAGAGAGCAGUUGCAAACUUUGGACUGCAUCGGGUCAGUUCCAUUAGCAGCCAUCAGAGAUAGAUUGUCCAGCCCAUCUCUUCACAGUGCUAUUUGUACUGUUGUAAAAAGCAUGUCCAGAUAUCUACCUGCACUUAGUCAUCUGAAUUUGGAACUUAUACAAAGAACCUUAGACACUGUGGCUGGAAAAUUGCAGUUUGUAAAGAGCCUCAAUACGCAGUUUGUUCUUCUCCCUGGUCAUAUUGAAAUUACACGGGUAGACAAGGAAUCCUAUUUUCCUGGGUGGGAGGGUGGAUCUCCCCAUCGAACUCUUUACUUUGUUGACCAGGCAAAGGCUUCCAUUAUGAUCGCUGAGCCUCCAGCAUGUAUUUCUGUACUUGAUGUCAUUGCAAUUGUUGUGAGCCAGGUUUUAGGUUCCCCUAUCCCAUUGCCAAUUGGAUCUUUGUUUUUAAGUCCUGAAGGUUCUGAAUCUAUUGUUAUCGAUGUUAUGAAAAUAUGUUCCGACAAGAGAGAACUUGAACAAAGACACUGGAGCAAUAGUUUGCUAGGAAAAGAAAUACAGCCUCAAGAUGCCAUGCAAGUGCAGUUUCACCCGUUGAGACCCUUCUAUAGAGGAGAGAUAGUGGCUUGGAGGUUGCAGAAUGGGGAAAAGUUGCGAUAUGGUAGAGUUCCAGAAGAUGUAAGUCCAUCGGCAGGGCAGGCACUGUACAGAUUGAAGGUGGAAACGAUGGCUGGAGUGACAGAACUGCUUUUGUCUUCACAAGUCUUCUCUUUCAAAAAUAUUUCUAUGGGAGUGGCGGGUUCAUCAGCAUGCUUACAGGAUGAUGCCUCUGCAGUUAUUGGUAGAAGGACUCAUAUGGAGAUUUCAGAAAAUUCUAGGACAGAAAGAACGAGAUCCUCACAGUCUUGUCAAGAACUUCAAUAUGGCCAAGUUUCUGCUGGAGAGCUGGUUCAAGCAGUUCAGGAGUUGCUUUCUGCUGCAGGGAUUCAUAUGGAUGUGGAGAAGCAGUCUCUCCUGCAAAAUACCAUAUCCCUGCAGGAACAACUCAAGGAAUCUCAAGCAGCACUUCUAAUUGAACAGGAGAAGGCUGAUGUGGCUUCUAAAGAAGCUGACAUGGCCAAGGCGGCGUGGGUUUGUCGGGUAUGUUUGAGUGGUGAAGUGGAUGUUGCCAUUGUUCCAUGUGGCCAUGUCCUCUGCCGUAGAUGCUCGUCUGCUGUUUCAAGGUGCCCAUUCUGUCGUCUUCAGGUGAUGAAAACUAUGAGAAUAUUUCGGCCAUGAUAGUGAAGAUCCAAGGCUGAAAUUAUGGAAAUCCUCACACUCUUCGCUGCAUAAAAGGGACCUGGAUUUGUGGCAAGAGCAUCCUCACGACUUUGUAAUUAGUGAUUCUAGAACUAUAGAUGGCAAUUUAUUGUUGUUAAUAUGAAACUGGGGCGGGCAAGCCGCCCAGUAGACGGAAGCAGCAUGAACCUAUGUUUAGUUCGAUUGUCUUCGGUUAAGACUUGAUUGGAAGGGACGGAGUCACCCUCGUGGUAUGUUGUCUCUUUCAAGUUGUAUAAAAUCUUCGUUGUUAAUAAUAAGUAAAUGGCAUGACAGAUUCAUUUGAAAAA